AGCAGCCGCGGUAAUUCCAGCUCCAAUAGCGUAUAUUAAAGUUGUUGCAGUUAAAAAGCUCGUAGUUGAAUUUCGGGGUCAGUAGGUCGGUCGUGCCACUGGUAUGAACUGGUUUUACUGAUUCCUCCCUCUUGAAGAACUGUAAUGCCAUUAACUUGGUGUUGCAGGGAAUCAGGACUGUUACUUUGAAAAAAUUAGAGUGUUUAAAGCAGGCUUUAGCUUGAAUACAUUAGCAUGGAAUAAUGAAAUAGGACGUUUGAUCCUAUUUUGUUGGUUUCUAGGAUUGACGUAAUGAUUAAUAGGGAUAGUUGGGGGCAUUAGUAUUCAAUUGUCAGAGGUGAAAUUCUUGGAUUUAUUGAAGACUAACUACUGCGAAAGCAUUUGCCAAGGAUGUUUUCAUUAAUCAAGAACGAAAGUUAGGGGAUCGAAGACGAUCAGAUACCGUCGUAG
This 450-nucleotide ribosomal RNA is filed under the name uncultured Glomeromycotina. RNAcentral describes it as "SSU rRNA". It matches the Rfam family "Eukaryotic small subunit ribosomal RNA", at positions 569 to 1023 of the family's 1831-position model. Lineage: Eukaryota; Fungi; Glomeromycota. The record is from RNAcentral.